AGAGUUUGAUCCUGGCUCAGGACGAACGCUGGCGGCACGCUUAACACAUGCAAGUCGAACGAGAGAAGAGGAGCUUGCUUUUCUGAUCUAGUGGCGGACGGGUGAGUAACACGUGAGCAAUCUGCCUUUCAGAGGGGGAUACCGAUUGGAAACGAUCGUUAAUACCGCAUAACAUAAUUGAACCGCAUGAUUUGAUUAUCAAAGAUUUAUCGCUGAAAGAUGAGCUCGCGUCUGAUUAGCUAGUUGGUAAGGUAACGGCUUACCAAGGCGACGAUCAGUAGCCGGACUGAGAGGUUGAUCGGCCACAUUGGGACUGAGACACGGCCCAGACUCCUACGGGAGGCAGCAGUGGGGAAUAUUGCACAAUGGAGGAAACUCUGAUGCAGCGAUGCCGCGUGAGGGAAGAAGGUUUUAGGAUUGUAAACCUCUGUCUUCAGGGACGAAAAAAGACGGUACCUGAGGAGGAAGCUCCGGCUAACUACGUGCCAGCAGCCGCGGUAAUACGUAGGGAGCGAGCGUUGUCCGGAAUUACUGGGUGUAAAGGGAGCGUAGGCGGGAUCGCAAGUCAGAUGUGAAAACUAUGGGCUUAACCCAUAAACUGCAUUUGAAACUGUGGUUCUUGAGUGAAGUAGAGGUAAGCGGAAUUCCUAGUGUAGCGGUGAAAUGCGUAGAUAUUAGGAGGAACAUCAGUUGCGAAGGCGGCUUACUGGGCUUUAACUGACGCUGAGGCUCGAAAGCGUGGGGAGCAAACAGGAUUAGAUACCCUGGUAGUCCACGCCGUAAACGAUGAUUACUAGGUGUGGGGGGACUGACCCCUUCCGUGCCGCAGCAAACGCAAUAAGUAAUCCACCUGGGGAGUACGACCGCAAGGUUGAAACUCAAAGGAAUUGACGGGGGCCCGCACAAGCAGUGGAGUAUGUGGAUUAAUUCGAAGCAACGCGAAGAACCUUACCAGGUCUUGACAUCGUAUGCAUAGCUCAGAGAUGAGUGAAAUCUCUUCGGAGACAUAUAGACAGGUGGUGCAUGGUUGUCGUCAGCUCGUGUCGUGAGAUGUUGGGUUAAGUCCCGCAACGAGCGCAACCCUUACUGUUAGUUGCUACGCAAGAGCACUCUAGCAGGACUGCCGUUGACAAAACGGAGGAAGGUGGGGAUGACGUCAAAUCAUCAUGCCCCUUAUGACCUGGGCCUCACACGUACUACAAUGGCUGUCAACAGAGGGAAGCAAAGCCGCGAGGUGGAGCGAACCCCUAAAAGCAGUCUUAGUUCGGAUUGUAGGCUGCAACCCGCCUACAUGAAGUCGGAAUUGCUAGUAAUCGCAGAUCAGCAUGCUGCGGUGAAUACGUUCCCGGGCCUUGUACACACCGCCCGUCACGCCAUGGGAGUCGGUAACACCCGAAGCCUGUAGUCUAACCGCAAGGAGGACGCAGUCGAAGGUGGGAUUGAUGACUGGGGUGAAGUCG
Molecule: ribosomal RNA, 1460 nt
Filed under: metagenome
Description: bacterial SSU rRNA
Rfam family: Bacterial small subunit ribosomal RNA
Source: RNAcentral